CAGCGCCGCGGUAAUACGUAGGGUGCAAGCGUUAAUCGGAAUUACUGGGCGUAAAGCGUGCGCAGGCGGUUAUAUAAGACAGAUGUGAAAUCCCCGGGCUCAACCUGGGAACUGCAUUUGUGACUGUAUAGCUAGAGUACGGCAGAGGGGGAUGGAAUUCCGCGUGUAGCAGUGAAAUGCGUAGAUAUGCGGAGGAACACCGAUGGCGAAGGCAAUCCCCUGGGCCUGUACUGACGCUCAUGCACGAAAGCGUGGGGAGCAAACAGGAUUAGAUACCCCCGUAGUCCCUGUCUCUUAUACC
Molecule: ribosomal RNA, 301 nt
Filed under: uncultured bacterium
Lineage: Bacteria
Description: partial 16S ribosomal RNA
Rfam family: Bacterial small subunit ribosomal RNA
Source: RNAcentral